Long non-coding RNA from Alligator mississippiensis (American alligator), 1112 nucleotides. RefSeq lists it as uncharacterized. The record is from RefSeq and is a predicted model, not a curated record. Lineage: Eukaryota; Metazoa; Chordata; Crocodylia; Alligatoridae. The transcript has 2 exons.
CUCCAACUCCAACUCCAACUCCAACUCCAACUCGCCAGGAGGAGGAGACUUCGUGCUGUGUGAAGAUCUCCAAGCGCUGCGGACCCUUGUGGACCCAACGCGCCUCUCUCAAGCUUAAUAACUGAACCCACGGAGCUUUCACUUCUAGCCUCUCCCCGUCGCCGAUCGCAAUCCAAGACGUAUCCUUUUCCUGUAAACCCAAUUUUCGAACCCACGGAGCCUAAACAACUCCAGGAGACCAGGGAACCGAACCGAACCUGCGGAGCCUAAACAACUCCGUGGGAGCAACCGAAUUUGUCGUAGUCCUCUAGUGAGGAUUUAAGCGGAGCUGCGCCUGGAAACCUGUCCAGCCUACACCACUACCAUCUUUGGGUUCCUCAAGGCAUCUCCCCUUGUGCUGGGCACGCAGCUCCUUUUAUAUGCUCCAGGGCUCUGCCCCCCGAAGUCUUCCAGAUCUGACAGUUUGCAGUCUUCAAUCAGGUCUGGGAGAGCUCUUCUCCCCUUCCCCUCAGGAUAGGGGCAUGAUGGUAUUUCUCUUGCUGCCUCCUGAUUGGUGGAUGGGCUCCACCAAUCAAAACAGCAGGAUCUCAAGCCUGGACUUCAACCCAAGCUCUGAAAGGUAAGCCUGCUACAUUUAUAAGACUGCAGAGGUCUGUGAACUGAGAGAAGAGCCUUGAUGCUGUGGGCCUGUAACCAGGCCUAACAACUGCAUGCAAAAUGCUGCAGUGAGGGACCUGAGUGUGCAAUGGGCUUGAGAUAACCUCCAUUAACACUGAGCCUCACUUUUUUUUUGCUCCUAUUUACCUUCAACUUAAAAGGAAUGUAUUCAAAGGACAAGCUGGGGAAUGAAAUGUUACCAACAACUGUGGUACCUGGCUGAGCACCGUCCAUCCACAUGUAACUGUUUCUUCCAGAUCUUGCUUUGCAUCCAGUAAAAUAGACAUCUUAUUUGCAUCUAUGCACUUAUAUCCGUAAGGUAACUUGUACUUCCCCACAGUGGAUGAAAUCAGACAAGAAAUUAAGAAAUGUUGCUCUGGCCCAGCUCUUCACUGCUCAAAGCACCGGCUGUUUUCUGGCUUUCGUAAGCACUAUAAAGUAUAUACCUGGCUUUA